Molecule: ribosomal RNA, 282 nt
Filed under: uncultured bacterium
Lineage: Bacteria
Description: partial 16S ribosomal RNA
Rfam family: Bacterial small subunit ribosomal RNA
Source: RNAcentral
AGUGAACGCUGGCGGCAGGCCUAACACAUGCAAGUCGAGCGGCAGCGGGUUCCCGCGAGGGGAUGCCGGCGAGCGGCGGACGGGUGAGGAACACAUCGGAAUCUGCCUGGUUGUGGGGGAUAACGUAGGGAAACUUACGCUAAUACCGCAUGCGACCCUGAGUCGACGGACUGGGGGUGAAAGUGAGGGACCUUCGGGCCUCACGCGACCAGAUGAGCCGAUGUCGGUAUAGCUAGUUGGCGGGGUAACCGGCCCGCCAAGGCGACGAUCCGUAGCUGGUCU